Molecule: long non-coding RNA, 895 nt
Organism: Labeo rohita (rohu)
Lineage: Eukaryota; Metazoa; Chordata; Actinopteri; Cypriniformes; Cyprinidae
Exons: 2
Source: RefSeq, a predicted model, not a curated record
CUGUUGUGCUUUGUACGUUUAUGCCUUGAUAAUGCAGCAUAUGUUAAUCUGACUUUGCCUUUCUCUGCUUGGUCUCACAUUUAUUUUCUGUCAUGUGACUUUUUCCUAUAAACAGAGUUGAUGCCAGGCUGGCUCUGAAUUCAGAAUGGGUUGCAAGUGUUUGUUGGCUCGGUGUAAGAAUUUGACAGGUUUGCACUGGUUCCCCCGAGAUGCUGACAAAGCUAGAUUGUGGCUGCAGGCGGUGGGUUCUCCAUCAGCUCCUGACACAUCACGAUUGUUUGUGUGUAACAAACGUUUUUCGCAGGAGAACUUUUACAGACACGAAGACAUUGGCAUUGCUCAUGGAGGUAAUCUCCAAAGAGAAGACGCUGAACGAAGUCCAAAAUAUCUUUCCAUCCCCACAGGACAGCCGUUUCACUUUAGCUGCUGGCUAGAAAUACUGGAAUUUUGCCCAGUUACUGCAAAUAAAGGAGGAAGUCUAAAUAUGGUCAUCGGUGAGAUGAAUUUAUCGUGAUGUCACACAACAUGCAGCAGUCAAGCUUCCGGGUUCUUCACACAGUCAGAUUAAACAUGUCUAUUAAGAGCAAAUGCACUUUUAAUUAAAGCUAUAGUUAUGUUACGCAUAUAAUUGUAACUUUUUUUUUUGUUUUGUUUACUAAAUGUUACUAGAAUGUGAUGCCUAUGUUUUAUAGUGAAGAAAUGCACAUCGUUUUUGAAAAAUAUCUUGAAAAAAAAUUCAAGUUAUAUACUGUUGGAAAUGUAGCAGAACAUUGAAUGUGAUUUUAUUUAUGAUUUAGGAAAGUGUUAAAAUGGCAGUAGUUUCAAAUUUGCUUCAUCAAGCAAUGUUUAGAAAUAGCCUUGUUGUGUUUAGAAAUUUCACUAGAAUCAUCUGACA